UCUUGAAAAUAUGUUAUAUCCCUAGAUUAUCAGGUUUGUACCUCUUAUUUUCUUCUGUAGACAGAGUUCUGUCUAGGCAUAUGCAUCAGUAUCCUGCAACAUGGUAACUGUCAUUUGUUACAGCUGAAGAGGUAGUGUUAUCCAACUGAGAUUGUGUUGUCUGGGUCUUCCGGUAGAGACGAGAAGCUAUGGAAAGCGAUGCCACUGCUAUUUAUGUGCUCAGGUUUUCUCUGCUUAUAUUUGGCCUUCGUUAGGUAUACCUCUUUGUUGCCUUGAUUUGCACAUGUGUUACUUUCUAGUAUUCAUGCCUCCCUGCAUCCUAAUAUUUCCUUUACUUGCACUCAGGCCCCAGCUGUUAUUUGAAUGCAGCUUAUUCAUGGAUGCAUGCUUUACAUGCUCUUCUAGCCUCUGCCUGUUCUUGUGUUGCUUCCUCUUAUCUCAUGGCUGCCUGUUGUGUGCAGGAAAAUGCCUCAAUUAAUUAAUUUGGUGCUCCGCUAGUCGCCAUGGUCGGAUGAUACUUCAGGUUUGCACUUCCCAUUGUGGUAUUGCCCUGGUUGCUGGCGUAGGUUCUUUUAUCGUGCUGCUUAAUGCAAUUUCAUCGUUGAUUUGAUAGGGAAACUGAUGUUUAUCUACACGAUGGACCUGGCUAUAUUGCCUACUGCAUGUAUCGUUUACUGGGAACCAAAAUACUUGGACUGUGCAGCUCUGUUUGUUCCUGUGGUGAUUAGCCUAUUGUUUUUGGUUAUGGAAUUGCAGCAGCGAGCUAUCUCUUCCCUGUGUUUUACGGGUCAAGUCUUAUUCAACACCUAUGGGAAGGUAACAUAAUUUCGUCUCGCUUUGUCUUCUUGCACCAUGGUUCUGUUUCUGUGUAAUUAUUUUGCAUCGUUCCAGUUUGUUGUAUGCAGAUGCCUAUUUUGCAGUCUCACAAUCCAACUGUAAUAGUAGGGAGAAAGAUGAUGCUAUUGUGCUUUAUGUCGUAAUUCAAAAUCUAGAGUUGCACUUUUGGUUGAUUAAUCUUUCUGAACCAUAAUGAUUAUUCCUCUUUUAUUGUAUUGUUAGCCAAUUAAAAAGAUUUUAUUGUAGGUGUAUAUUUGUCUGUACGGUAUAUAUUAUGCGAGGUGGUAGGAGCUAGGAUCCUACCUGGUCUAGGGCAUAGGUUGUACAGGAAGGGGGAGGGUUGACGGAGAUGCGAUUGCGGCUGCCGGCGGCAGGGCGCCGUGGCGCGAUGAAGAAGAGGCGGCGGCGGCGCAAGAGGCGGCUAGGGUUAGGUCUCCCGGCUCCCUUCGGGAAGCCGAGCAAAUAAUGAUUGCUUCUUGCUUGAUUAGAUUGAUACAUCUCCUCUCCUUAUAUAGAGAGGUUUACUUGACUCCUAAUCAAACGAUCCUAAUAACGAUAAGAUAAUUGGGCUAAGCCCCUAAUAAUGAUAAGAUAACUUGGGCCACAACCCACUGGGCUAAACCCCUAAUAUGCCGGUCAUAACACUUCUCCCCGCCUGCACAAACAGCUCGUCCUCGAGCUGUAAGGUGGGGAAGUGCUUGCUGAACUCCUCGAGGUGAUCAACCAGCGUCAAACACCUUCGCGACAGCUGGGACGGCCAGGCCGGCGGCGACGGCGUCCUCCGGAAUGUAGUCUGCAACCUCCAGGUAGAAGAGUCGCGGGCAGACGUGGCCGGGCGUGUAGGGCUCGUCGCAGUUGAAGCACAACCCUUGGCGGCGACGCUCGAGUAGCUCGGCCGAGGUGAGCCGGCGGAACAGGCGCGCCGCGGUCGCGGCGAGGGGUGCCGCGGAAGCCUGAGCAGGCCGAGCUUGCGUGGGAACAUCCGGCCAGGGUAGCGACCCAGCAGCCCGGGACGGUGAUUCCUGCUGGAUGGCCACCGCGCGGCGCUCGAACGCGCGGGCGUAAUACAUGGCCGUCUGGAGAUCUUGGGGUCCCCGAAGCUCCACGUCCACGCGGAUGUGAUCCGGAAGUCCACCGACGAAGAGGUCGGCCCGCUGCUGCGCCGUCACGCCCGACGCAUGGCAUGCCAGAGCCUGGAAACGGCCGGUGAAGUCUUGAACCGUGGAGGUGAAGGGAAGGCGGCCUAGCUCUGCCAGGCGGCUCCCGCGGAUCGGUGGCCCAAAACGAAGGAGGCAGAGCUCGCGGAAGCGCUCCCAAGGGGGUAUGCUGCCCUCAUCCUGCUCAAGGGCGUAGUACCAGGUCUGUGCCGCGCCGCGGAGGUGGUAAGACGUGAGCCAGGUACGCUCCGAGGCGAGGGUGCGCUGCCCGCGAAAGAACUGCUCGCACUGGUUGAGCCAGUUGAGGGGGUCCUCCGUGCCGUCAUAAGUGGCGAAGUCCAGUUUGGCAAACCGCGGCGGUGUCUGAGUCGGAGCGCCGUGGCCGACUGGCUCGGAGGUGCGAAGCAGCGAGGAUUGGGGCGCCCGGUCAGCAUGGCCGCGGCCGUGGAGUGCCCCGCCAAGCCGGAGGGAUCGCCGAACUGCAGAGUGGGUGCCGGCGGGUCUCCAGCCGACGUGUAGACGGGCGGCGGCGAUGAUCCGGUCAGCCAGGCCGGUAUUGGGGACGGUGACGGCGGGAAGCGCACUUGCUGGAUCGGUACGCCUCCCUGCGUGGGUGACCCGGGCCCCGUGCUGGGCGAGGGAGGGGCCGGCAGCUGCGGCGGUACAGACCCGGGUGGAGUGGGGGGCGCAGCAAGGGCCGGGGCCGGCCACUGUGGCCAUUGAGGCGCGACAGCGGGCGGCGGUGGGGCCGGCAGCUGGGGCUGCGGCUGCCCGGACCCGGGAGGCGUCGAGGGNNNNNNNNNNNNNNNNNNNNNNNNNNNNNNNNNNNNNNNNNNNNNNNNNNNNNNNNNNNNNNNNNNNNNNNNNNNNNNNNNNNNNNNNNNNNNNNNNNNNNNNNNNNNNNNNNNNNNNNNNNNNNNNNNNNNNNNNNNNNNNNNNNNNNNNNNNNNNNNNNNNNNNNNNNNNNNNNNNNNNNNNNNNNNNNNNNNNNNNNNNNNNNNNNNNNNNNNNNNNNNNNNNNNNNNNNNNNNNNNNNNNNNNNNNNNNNNNNNNNNNNNNNNNNNNNNNNNNNNNNNNNNNNNNNNNNNNNNNNNNNNNNNNNNNNNNNNNNNNNNNNNNNNNNNNNNNNNGGGUGUGCCGAUCGCCGGUGCCGGCCACUGCGGCCAGUGGGGGGCGACGGCGGGCAGCGGCUGACCGGGCCAGUGGUGGUGUAGAGGCUCGAUUGGCGCCGUGGUGGCCGCGUACCAGGGCAGGGUGGCGGGCCCGGUCGCGGCGGCCGGCUGCAAGUGCGGCGGCUGCCCGUAGGGCCCGGCCAGGUAGAGGCGUAUGCCCUGGACGGCGGUGACGAGGUCGUUGAGUACCCCGGUCAUCUCCGCCGGUGAGUAGAUGGCGACGGGCGGCGCGGUGGAGGGCGGCGGCGUCUGGCUGGUGGAGGCGCCGGCGGUGGAGUCCAGCGGCGCGGUGGGGAGAGGCAGCGGCGCGGUGGAGAGAGGCAGCGGCGCGGUGGUGAGGAGCAACGGCGGGUUGGGUGGCGGUGAAGACAUGAUCGGAACCGAGCUACCUGAUACCAAAUUGGUAGGAGCUAGGAUCCUACCUGGUCUAGGGCAUAGGUUGUACAGGAAGGGGGAGGGUUGACGGAGAUGCGAUUGCGGCUGCCGGCGGCAGGGCGCCGUGGCGCGAUGAAGAAGAGGCGGCGGCGGCGCAAGAGGCGGCUAGGGUUAGGUCUCCCGGCUCCCUUCGGGAAGCCGAGCAAAUAAUGAUUGCUUCUUGCUUGAUUAGAUUGAUACAUCUCCUCUCCUUAUAUAGAGAGGUUUACUUGACUCCUAAUCAAACGAUCCUAAUAACGAUAAGAUAAUUGGGCUAAGCCCCUAAUAAUGAUAAGAUAACUUGGGCCACAACCCACUGGGCUAAACCCCUAAUAUGCCGGUCAUAACACGAGGUAUUUCUAACGCAUCUUGAUCUUAUUUUAGAAUCAUCUGACUAGAGUCUUGGUCCUUCGAGCUUGGUUAACUAAAGCAUCUGUGAUAUCAGAUAUCAAAUUAUUUACACUUGUACUUAAGAUGUAAUGUAUCAUACUAGAUUUUCAUGAGCUUAAUUAUAGAUUAUCAUGAUUUUGGGGAUGUGUACAGUGUAAAAUUAUAGAUCGCUCAGACUUUGAAUGGAGCUGAAGAAGUGAUCUGAACUUUAUCUUCUAUUUAUAUUUAAUAGUCAUUGGUGUUGUCAAGCAUUCCAAAUAGCACCAAUGAAUGGUUAAUGCAGGCACAAUAUUAUUCCUCUAUUUUCUUGAACUUUUAUUUAUUUAGUCAUUUACCCUGCUGCUUCAUAAAUUUCACUGUUCGCCUUUCUCUCUUUUGGUGCUUUUUACAAAUUCUAGAGCUGCACUUCAUGUAUUUAGAGACAUUGUCUUCAUUGUUUAUAAGCAGUUCCUUCAUUACAAAUCCUAGAACUGAAACCUUUCACUUUGAAGGUAGGAGACUGGUACGAACCGUGAGUGUUUCAUAGAGAAAUUCUGUUCAUAUGAAGCAGAAGAAAGUCAUGCAGUACCUUGCAAUUACGUCGUGAUUAUUAGCCUAUUAUGAUGCUCAAAACCUGAUACAGAAAAUAUUUAUGACUGAAUGUUUGACAUGAUCUCAUGUCUUAUUUGCUAAUGGUGGUUACAUGAUCUCAAGUCUGACGGCAGAAGAAAGAAAUGCUGCCUGUUACUUUCACUGUCAUUCUCGCGGUUAAUUACAUGAUCUCAGGUCUCUCUCUCCAAGUUGCUAAUGGUGGUCCUAUGUAUGUCUUGGUAGACGAUGUAGGAUACAAUAGCUUCUCAUGUUCUGUUUACUUGUUUAGGCUAAAGUAGUAGAGUGCUUAUUCACCCCCUUCUCUGCAAAUCAUUCUCUCAAGGUUGCAGGCAAAUCUUAUAACCAGGUGCUUCGAGAAUGAACAAAUAUUCAGUUCAGCGGGAUUCAUAUUUUUCUUGCCUCCAUCUUAUUUCAUUAAUUUGUGGUAGCUGCCAAUUGUUUUUUCUCCAUGUCAGUAAUCAUCUUCACUAAUUCAGAUUCAUUCUUUUUUGUGUGGUUGCUACGAAAGAACAUAUCUCUUUGUUGCUGCACAUCUGUGAUGCUUUUAAGCAAAAUGCAAGAUGUUUGAGGAAAUGCCAAUGAGAACAAAAUGUGAAUAUGCUGUUAGUGGCGUUUAAAAACAUUUUCUUGCAUUUUUAAUAGUAUCAAUAAAAUGGCUAAAUUGCACAUGAGUCUAAAUCAUAUUAAAUCAUAACGGCCUCAUGUUUUUUGUCAAAGAGUUUUGUGGUUGCAUAAAUAAGUCGUGAGAACAUUUGGAUGCAAGCACCCAUCUUUCGUGAGAGAGACCCAUGCAUUUCAGUUCUUCUUUGUUUAUACUCUGCCAAGUUAUCUCAAGCAUAUGUUUUUACUUUGGCACAGGUUGAUUCUAUAACUGAAUGCAUAGGCUUAAAUCAGAGGAUAUAGCAGCGGAAGAACAAGUUGUAUGUUUGUCGAGGUGAUCUCUUCUUAUUUAUUUGACAUGAUAAAGCAUGGACCUUCUUGCUCAGGUUUCAGAUUUCUCAAUCCAUACUUUCGUGCAAAUAUCAAUUCUUGACUUGUUAUUCAGUAAUCUUGCACGUUUUCAUUUUCUCUAUAUAUCAUCAGUAUUAAAGUUCAUACAUAAUACCUUAUAUUAUUGGCUUUAGAACAUUGCAAAUCAGGGUAGGCGGUGCAUUUGGGAAAUUCAUAUUCUAUUCAAAGGCACUUCAUCGAUACAGUCAAAUGCUUCACAAUAGAAUAUGCUACUUCACUUUUUAGGUGUCCUAAGGUUUCAUAAUUCGUUUUUAUUAUCUAAAGCAGCAUGUUUUAUCAUUUUAGUUAGCAUUGCGCCAAUCACAAACCACAAAAAAUACACAUGCUCACCCAGUCACCCUUUGUAAAGAACCGCGCCUAUAUAUGUUCUGCUCUGUACUGAAUCUUGAUGCUUUGUACGGAACCAUAUGUAUAUGUAUACUAAUGGAAUACAUGCCCUGCAGUUAGCUAUCUUUGGUUUUUUAGCAGUCCUGUUGUGUUAUUUCCUUCGAAAUGGAUGAUUGGUUUAUACGUGUUUGAUUAUCUUCUUUGAACCUUACGCCUGACUGCUUAUUAGAUUGGCUUAUACAUGUUUGAUUCUCUGCUUUUUUUCGAGAAAACGCAAAUGGCCUUUGCGUUUCAUUGCAUUGGAAAGAAAGGGAAUUUACAUCCUCCUAGGAGGCAGGUUUACACAGUUGUCAGAUGAUCAGUGGACAUCCCAGGAUGAUGGCAAAACGACCCUGAGCCCUUGAGCCCCGGCCUUUGCCCAACAUCGGGCCUUGUCCUUGAUCCUGUCGACAAGCUCAUUGAGCGAUGGGCUCACAUGGUCAAAAACGCACGCGUUCCUAUGCUUCCAGAUCAUCCACGGCACCAAAAGCGCCACGGAUUUCAGCGCCUUGCGGAGCGCUGGCAGUGUGGAUUCCUUCGCGUGCAGCCACCAGUCCAUGAGCGAGUCGUCGUGCUCGGGCGCCGGUGCCGGUAAGCGCAGACAAGAUAGGAUCUCAUGCCAUGUUUGCCUAGUGAAGGGGCACGCGAGCAUCAAGUGUCUGAUUGUCUCCGGCUCUUGGUCGCAUAGAAGGCAUCGCGGGUGGUGCUGCAGGCCACGGCGUGCGAGCCGCUCCGCGGUCCAGCAGCGAUCUUGUCAUGCCAUCCAACGGAAAAAUUUCACUUUUGGCGGUGCCCGGCUCCUCCAUAUGAGCUUCCAGGAGUGGCAGCCCGUCGCUCCCAGGAAGGUUGCCCGGUAGCAAGACUGAGCGGUGUACACGCCGUUGGCGGUCCAGCUCCAGAGCAGCUUGUCCGGCUCGUUGGACAGCUCGACAUGCUGCACUAGGUGCCAUAGCUUCAGGUACUAUCCAAUCUCGGGAAGGCUGAGCAGCCCAUGGAUGUCGCGCGCCCAGCUUUUGACGGCCAAGGCCUCCGCCACCGUUCUCGAUUUCCGGCGAUGCUUUGGGAUGCACUGAAAGAGCAUGGGCGCUAGCUCGCGGAUGGACUGGCCGCCGAGCCAGCGAUCCUCCCAGAAGAGGGCGGUCGUGCCGUCCCCGAUGGCCAUGGUCGUGGAAGCGUGGAAGAGCGCGCGCUCUUCCGACGUAAAUUGCAGGUCCAGCCCCUGCCAUGCGUGAUCAGUGCCCGUACGCGCAAGCCAUAGUCAACGCAGCCGGAGCGCGAGCCCAGUGCGCUCGAGAUCCCGGACACCUAGGCCGCCAUAUUCGAGCGGGUGGCAGACCCGGCGCCAAUUCACGUGGCAGUGUCCACCGUGGGCGUCCGCGCGGCCGGCCCAAAGAAAACCAUGCUGAAUCUUCUCUAGUUGCUUCAGGGUUUUCUUGGGAGGUGCGAGCGCGAGCAAUUGGUGAAUCAGGACCGCGCUGAGCACCGACUUGACUAGCGCCAGCCGUCCGGCCUUGUUCAUCAGCCAUGCCUUCCAGGUAGGAAGCCGGCCUGCCACCGUGUCGACAAGGGGUUGCAGCUGGGCCGCGGAGGGGCGACGGGUGGUGAGCGGGAUGCCCAGAUAGGUGAUUCUCUGCUUUGAAUUGUAUGAUUGCCUGUUUAUUAGCCCUGGAAAAUGAAACGCUUCAAUGGUUGAUUAUCCUUCCACUUAGAUCAAAAGGAAUUUUUCCAAUAGAACUAUGGAACCCCUGAGCGGUUGCGGUUGUACCUGUACUGCAGGAAUAAGAAACUCACUAUUCACUCAGUUUAUUUUCCAUAAUAAGUUAUGUAGGAGAGAUGGCCGAACGGUUCAAGGCGUAGCAUUGGAACUGCUAUGUAGACUUUUGUUUACCAAGGGUUCGAAUCCCUCUCUUUCUGUUUUUCUUAAUUCAUCAACGUUAAGGAUCACAAUGUAUCAAAUCAAAUAGCAAUUUUCUCCAGCAAUAAUAUCUUAUAUUAUCUUACUUUUAUUUAAUAGAAAUUAGAAAUUCUCUAUAGCAAAUUACUGUGGUAUGUAAAAUUCUAUAUAUGAAUCCCUUCAUGCACGAUAUUGAUUGUACAACGUUGAUAGUUCGUGUUGUCCUGCACAUGACUGGCUCCGGACUGUAAAUUGAGAAGUGUUAAUAUAGAAGAAAAGGUAAUGAUGCAUUCAGUGGGAAGGUUCUGAUAAGAUGUAUUCAUGCUUUUCAAUGGCUGAUUUCUAAUGUAUGAGAGGGGCACCUGUACUUAGUCCAGGCCAAAUCGUUGUUUUUAGCAUAAAAUCAAAUGUAUCUUUGCAGUAUUCCUGAAAAAUGGUCUUACAUUUUUUCCCCUUGGUAUUUAUUUACUGUACUGUAUCGGCUCAGUUGAGACGAGGUGAACACGUGAUGACCGUCAUCAGGUCCUUCGUCACAACACCUGAGCGGGCGAGAUGUUCAAAGUUAAAUUAAACACUAUUAUCUCAUAUGCUGUGGAAGAACCAUAUAUGUCGUUUUUCCUGACAACUGUUAGCACUUGCUUUUGGUAUAUCAUGUUAUCAAUUCUGUGACAUGCUUAAAAGGAUGUAAUGAAAUGAACCCUGCGUCUUUAUUUGAUGAAUUCAGAUGAUGAAUCAAUUGUCUAUAUUUUGUUUUAUCUGUCUGCCAUCUCGCACCUCUAAAAUAUAAAUUGUGUAUUACCGGGCUGGCUGGAUAUGCACCAGCUAUGCAGCCUUGCCGAAUGUUUUAUGUUAUGAAGGCAUCAGCAUGGGUGUUUGUAUUUACAAUGCCUCCUUCACACUUAAUCCACCAUCAAUGAGGCAAGUGCACUCCUUUUUGUCACAGAAAAUCAAGUGAAUGUUGCAUUCACAAACCAAUUAGCACGUUUGGGUUGUAGAUACUGUGCAUUGAUCCCUACAUUUGUAACCAAUUCGUGUUUGAUUGAGUUUACUCUCUUUCUCAUGCUUUGUGCUUCCCUAGGUCGGGCAGCUCCGUGGGGACAUGAAGCCGAUGGCGAAGGCGUGAGGCGGGCAUCAUCAUUGUGGAGUUAUUUGUGCAAGUUACACCAUCAGCAACCAUGUAAAGACAUUUGCAUCAGCUAUCAUCUCAAGUAGACCAUUUCCAUGCUCUAAGUUAACUAUUGUUUAAAUUGUGAAAAAUCAAAGGCUUUUGUGCCUAUUAGUUUGUUCUAUCCUGAGCACAUGUGUUGUGUUCAAUUAGCAAAAUGUUACUGUAGACCACAAUAACUAUGCAUGCUCAUACAUUGUGCCUAUACUUAGCAUAGUAAUAUAUGAGAUAAUCAAAGCUGCUAAGGAGGAGCUCCUCCCGUGAGUCCGCCGUUGUGGCCAGAGUGAAAAGUACCUUGGAAUGAACAGUGACCAUAGUGAACAGUAUUUCCAUGUGAACAUUAUUUUCACUUUUUUUAUUCUCUUUCAGAUACAAUAAUAAAAAGAGCUCCUUUACGGUGAUUGGGGCGGUACUGGGAGUACUUUCAAGUACUUACCCCUUUGAUUUUUAUUAGCCGUCCGAUCUGGUGGGGGAUUAAAAAUGAAUUAACUUAAUUAGUUUAAUCAGAGAAGGGCAUAAUGGUCCAGGGUAA
This 9529-nucleotide long non-coding RNA is filed under the name Triticum aestivum (bread wheat). RNAcentral's name for it is "long non-coding RNA (TAES_LNC019437)". The stretch from base 7766 to 7852 matches the Rfam family "tRNA". Lineage: Eukaryota; Viridiplantae; Streptophyta; Magnoliopsida; Poales; Poaceae. The record is from RNAcentral.